Molecule: ribosomal RNA, 253 nt
Filed under: uncultured bacterium
Lineage: Bacteria
Description: partial 16S ribosomal RNA
Rfam family: Bacterial small subunit ribosomal RNA
Source: RNAcentral
UACGGAGGGUGCGAGCGUUGUUCGGAAUCACUGGGCGUAAAGGGCGUGUAGGCGGUCCGCUAAGUCUGAUGUGAAAGCCCGGGGCUCACCCCCGGAAGGGCAUUGGAAACUGGCGAACUCGAGUCCCGGAGAGGAGGGUGGAAUUCCUGGUGUAGCGGUGAAAUGCGUAGAUAUCAGGAGGAACACCGGUGGCGAAGGCGGCCCUCUGGACGGUGACUGACGCUGAGACGCGAAAGCGUGGGGAGCAAACAGG